ACGGGUGAGUAUAAUGUGGGUAUCUGCCCUUUGGUUUGGAAUAACACGAGGAAACUUGUGCUAAUACCGGAUAAGCCUUCACAGGGAAAGCUUUAGCGCCAAAGGAUGAGCUCGCACUUGAUUAGCUAGUUGGUAGGGUAAUGGCCUACCAAGGCAACGAUCAAUAGCUGUUCUUAGAGGAAGACCAGCCACAUUGGGACUGAGACACGGCCCAAACUCCUACGGGAGGCAGCAGUGGGGAAUCUUGCACAAUGGGGGAAACCCUGAUGCAGCGAUGCCGCGUGAGUGAAGAAGGCCUUUGGGUUGUAAAGCUCUUUCGUCGGGGAAGAAAAUGACUGUACCCGAAUAAGAAGGUCCGGCUAACUUCGUGCCAGCAGCCGCGGUAAUACGAAGGGACCUAGCGUAGUUCGGAAUUACUGGGCUUAAAGAGCUCGUAGGUGGUUAAGAAAGUUGGUGGUGAAAUCCCAAGGCUUAACCUUGGAACUGCCAUCAAAACUUUUUGACUAGAGUAUGAUAGAGGUAAGUGGAAUUUCUAGUGUAGAGGUGAAAUUCGUAGAUAUUAGAAAGAACACCAAUUGCGAAGGCAGCUUUCUGGAUCAUUACUGACACUGAGGAGCGAAAGCAUGGGUAGCGAAGAGGAUUAGAUACCCUCGUAGUCCAUGCUGUAAAACGAUGUGUGC
This 680-nucleotide ribosomal RNA is filed under the name uncultured Pelagibacterales bacterium. RNAcentral's name for it is "bacterial SSU rRNA". It matches the Rfam family "Bacterial small subunit ribosomal RNA", at positions 102 to 816 of the family's 1533-position model. The record is from RNAcentral. Lineage: Bacteria; Pseudomonadati; Pseudomonadota; Alphaproteobacteria; Candidatus Pelagibacterales.